RNAcentral lists this transfer RNA (71 nucleotides) under Jakoba libera. Its description in RNAcentral is "tRNA-Arg". It matches the Rfam family "tRNA". Rfam says of the family: Transfer RNA (tRNA) molecules are approximately 80 nucleotides in length. Their secondary structure includes four short double-helical elements and three loops (D, anti-codon, and T loops). Lineage: Eukaryota; Jakobea; Jakobida; Jakobidae. The record is from RNAcentral.
GGGCAAUUAGUUUAGUGGAAGAACAGAUGACUUCUAAUCAUCUAGCAAAGGUUCAACUCCUUUAUUGCCCU